RNAcentral lists this transfer RNA (76 nucleotides) under Flexivirga endophytica. Its description in RNAcentral is "tRNA-Lys". It matches the Rfam family "tRNA". From Rfam's summary of the family: Transfer RNA (tRNA) molecules are approximately 80 nucleotides in length. Their secondary structure includes four short double-helical elements and three loops (D, anti-codon, and T loops). Further hydrogen bonds mediate the characteristic L-shaped molecular structure. tRNAs have two regions of fundamental functional importance: the anti-codon, which is responsible for specific mRNA codon recognition, and the 3' end, to which the tRNAs corresponding amino acid is attached (by aminoacyl-tRNA synthetases). tRNAs cope with the degeneracy of the genetic code in two manners: having more than one tRNA (with a specific anti-codon) for a particular amino acid; and 'wobble' base-pairing, i.e. permitting non-standard base-pairing at the 3rd anti-codon position. Lineage: Bacteria; Bacillati; Actinomycetota; Actinomycetes; Micrococcales; Dermacoccaceae. The record is from RNAcentral.
GGGCCUCUAGCUCAAUUGGUAGAGCUGCGGACUUUUAAUCCGUAGGUUGCGGGUUCGAGCCCCGCGGGGCCCACCA